This 75-nucleotide antisense RNA is filed under the name Actinoalloteichus sp. GBA129-24. RNAcentral's name for it is "ASpks TB sRNA". It matches the Rfam family "ASpks TB sRNA". The record is from RNAcentral. RNAcentral also lists the same sequence under 1 other name. Lineage: Bacteria; Bacillati; Actinomycetota; Actinomycetes; Pseudonocardiales; Pseudonocardiaceae.
CUUCACCGACCCGAGCCACAACGGCCGAUCGGCAGGCCUGCCCUGUCCAUACGUCGCCAGCAGGGCCUGCGCCUC